CAGGCCUAACACAUGCAAGUCGAACGGGGUGCAUGGAGCUGAUAGCUUCGGUGUGAAGCACCAUGUUAUAUAGUGGCGAACGGGUGAGUAACACAUGGGUAACCUGCCCUCAGGAUUGGGAUACUUCCCGGGAAACCGGGCACAAUACCGGAUAUGAUUCCGAGGUGAAAUGCUAAGGGAUAAAAGCUGCGGGCAACCGCAGCACCUGAGGAUGGGCCCGUGGCCUAUACAGCUUGUUGGUGAGUGAAAAGCGAACCAAGGCCGAGACGGUAAGCCGGACUGAGAGGGAGAUACGGCCACACUGGAACUAGAGACACGGACCAGCCACUAACGGGAGGCAGCAGUAGGGGAAGAUUUGCGCAAUGGGCGAAAGCCUGACGCAGCGACGCCGCGUAGGGGGAAGAAGGCCUAACGGGUAUGGAACACGCCGAUGAGGAACGGGACAGACAGCCGAACGGGUGACGGGAACCGGAAGACGCAGCCACGGCGACCGAUGUGCCAGCAGCCGCGG
RNAcentral lists this ribosomal RNA (511 nucleotides) under uncultured bacterium. Its description in RNAcentral is "bacterial SSU rRNA". It matches the Rfam family "Bacterial small subunit ribosomal RNA", at positions 43 to 520 of the family's 1533-position model. The record is from RNAcentral.